RNAcentral lists this ribosomal RNA (492 nucleotides) under uncultured bacterium. Its description in RNAcentral is "partial 16S ribosomal RNA". It matches the Rfam family "Bacterial small subunit ribosomal RNA", at positions 29 to 507 of the family's 1533-position model. The record is from RNAcentral.
AGUGAACGCUGGCGGUAGGCCUAACACAUGCAAGUCGAACGGCAGCACAGUAAGAGCUUGCUCUUACGGGUGGCGAGUGGCGGACGGGUGAGGAAUACAUCGGAAUCUACUUUUUCGUGGGGGAUAACGUAGGGAAACUUACGCUAAUACCGCAUACGACCUACGGGUGAAAGCAGGGGAUCUUCGGACCUUGCGCGAUUGAAUGAGCCGAUGUCGGAUUAGCUAGUUGGCGGGGUAAAGGCCCACCAAGGCGACGAUCCGUAGCUGGUCUGAGAGGAUGAUCAGCCACACUGGAACUGAGACACGGUCCAGACUCCUACGGGAGGCAGCAGUGGGGAAUAUUGGACAAUGGGCGCAAGCCUGAUCCAGCCAUACCGCGUGAGUGAAGAAGGCCUUCGGGUUGUAAAGCCCUUUUGUUGGGAAAGAAAAGCUGCAGGUUAAUACCCUGCUGUUCUGACGGUACCCAAAGAAUAAGCACCGGCUAACUUCGUG